GUUCAGGUCAUGAUGUCGCUUGGCUCUGCUGUGAGGCUGCUGCACAGAAUGAGAACCGAAAUGCCCGAGUUGAGAAUUUGUAAGCGUGUUGGCGACUGUCCCUCCAAGAAAGUUUCGGAAGACAACAGCCCUGACCCGAAGUUUAGGGGUCUUGUUCAAAGGCACUGAAGAGCCGAGGGGGAUUUUCAAACGACACCAUCUUCUAAGCGAUUUGAACUUCAUCUAUCUACCGUGUCACACGGCGACUGGUUUCACGGAAGCGAAUUGUGGCACUUUGCCAUCAUCGUCACCCUGACCAUCGUCCGCCAGAGAGGGUGAGGCUGACUGCGCGUCCCUGCUUCCAAGGAAGGGGUGGCCACUGCACCACUGGGACCGAACCGAUGCACGCUCGCUGGAGUGCCCCGGCCCCCUGGACGCUCUGGUCCGGCCCUCUCCUGCUUGGGGCUGACGGUCGCCGGGGGCCCCUCCCCCCCUGUGUACACCUUGGCUUGGUGCGUGUUUCUUUUUGGGUGGGAAUGGAGGGCGGUUUCCCUCAGAUGGGACGUGUACAGACGUCAAAUAAACCUGACAGAUGUCCAUAAAACGAAAAAGCAAA
Molecule: long non-coding RNA, 595 nt
Organism: Galeopterus variegatus (Sunda flying lemur)
Lineage: Eukaryota; Metazoa; Chordata; Mammalia; Dermoptera; Cynocephalidae
Exons: 3
Source: RefSeq, a predicted model, not a curated record